Molecule: ribosomal RNA, 501 nt
Filed under: uncultured bacterium
Lineage: Bacteria
Description: partial 16S ribosomal RNA
Rfam family: Bacterial small subunit ribosomal RNA
Source: RNAcentral
GUUGAACGCUGGCGGCAGGCUUAACACAUGCAAGUCGAGCGGGGGAAGGUAGCUUGCUACUGGACCUAGCGGCGGCCGGGUGAGUAAUGCUUAGGAAUCUGCCUAUUAGUGGGGGACAACAUCUCGCAAGGGAUGCUAAUACCGCAUACGUCCUACGGGAGAAAGCUGGGGAUCUUCGGACCUUGCGCUAAUAGAUGAGCCUAAGUCGGAUUAGCUAGUUGGUGGGGUAAAGGCCUACCAAGGCGACGAUCUGUAGCGGGUCUGAGAGGAUGGUCCGCCACACUGGGACUGGGACACGGCCCAGACUCCUACGGGAGGCAGCAGUGGUGAAUAUUGGACAAUGGGGGGAACCCUGAUCCAGCCAUGCCGCGUGUGUGAAGAAGGCCUUAUGGUUGUAAAGCACUUUAAGCGAGGAGGAGGCUACUUUAGUUAAUACCUAGAGAUAGUGGACGUUACUCGCAGAAUAAGCACCGGCUAACUCUGUGCCAGCCGCCGCAGUAA